UACGUAGGUCCCGAGCGUUGUCCGGAUUUAUUGGGCGUAAAGCGAGCGCAGGUGGUUUAAUAAGUCUGAUGUAAAGGGCAGUGGCUCAACCAUUGUGUGCAUUGGAAACUGUUAGACUUGAGUGCAGUAGAGGAGAGUGGAAUUCCAUGUGUAGCGGUGAAAUGCGUAGAUAUAUGGAAGAACACCAGAGGCGAAGGCGGCUCUCUGGACUGUAACUGACGCUGAGGCUCGAAAGUGUGGGUAGCAAACAGG
RNAcentral lists this ribosomal RNA (252 nucleotides) under uncultured bacterium. Its description in RNAcentral is "partial 16S ribosomal RNA". It matches the Rfam family "Bacterial small subunit ribosomal RNA", at positions 524 to 776 of the family's 1533-position model. The record is from RNAcentral.